CAGACAAAUUUUGUUAGCCAUUUUAUGUAAUUCAUCCAUUUGUCACUUGACGGCCGUUAUAAUCUCAAUCUUUUCUUGAGAGGCAUGUGAAGUAUGUGCAUGCACAGGAAUGUAUCCAUGGAUUACAGAAGUUCAAGAAUACAAUGCUAAUCACUUUCUAGAAUCCUUCAUGGUUUUCCUUCAGAAUCUUAGCACAAGCUUGCAUUGAUACACUACUGGGUUUUCUAUAGACAUUAUCUUUAUUUGGUCUCACCUGUUUUUACCUUUAGCACAGUUGUAGACUUAGAUAAGAAUGCAUUUAUACAAUUACAAACAUUGCAUUUAACUUUUUUUCCAGGAUGGGGGUUGGAGGCUUAAUAGACCACUGAAUGCUAGGGAUUGACACCCAUUUUGUAUAGCAGUUAGUGUGGCUUUAGAUUUACAAAGAUAAAAGGAUAAUGGAUCUUAUUCGAUAAGAAAAUGCAUUUAAAUGAAGGGAUCUAUAAUCCAACGACUUGGUGGUAUGAAGAAGGGUAUAAAAUGAAGGGGAACUAUGAUAGAAGGGUCUUAAAUAAAAGAAGAGUCUAAAACACAAUGUAAAAUAGGGUGUUGUUAGGGACAGGGUCACACAAGGUGUACAAGUAUGCAGAUUGAGAGUAGGUAGUGGGUGGAAAGUGAAGGGAGCAGGUGUAGAGAUGGAAAUAGUGGUGCACCUGGUGCUGAGAUAUUGGAACAUUUAAUGAGAUAAGAGUGAUUAAAUGAAGGAAGGGUAGCAGAACCGAUAUAGGAUGUAUGGAGUAAUACAUGAGGGGCGGCCGCUGGGACACACCACUAUAAAAAGCAACACGGAUAGGUUUUUAUUCCUAACGCUAUAGUGUUUCAUUUAAACAAGAGUCUAAGGAGACCGAGAACUUUGAAUACUGAUCAAGAACCUUUCCAUGAGUGCUGGGCUGAAAAAUUAGAAUCCUAAGGACUGGUUUGACUGUAAUAGACUUUCAUUAGCUUUCCACUUGUCAUCCACUAUGCAUGAAUCAACAUUAAUUGUCAGCAGAUAAGAGGCUGUCUUUACAGGCCAAAUUUCCUAAGGUCUUUCCUUUUUGCCCUAAGAAAUGUAACGCCUGGAAUUAAGUUCCAAAGAGUGAUGAGAACAGAAAACCCAGGCUUCCAAAAGAAAGCAAGAUAUUCCUUAGGCAUGAACCUAUAGCAAGGUAAGACUUUACUUAGGUCAGUCUCCAGCUACAAGUAGACAAUAUGGAAGGGUAUAAGCUGAGCUCAUCUUGUACAUGCCCUUAAAAGGGAUACUAUAGGCAUAAAAAUAAAUUUACCUUAAUAAAGCAGGUUUGGUGUAUAGAUCAUGCCCCUGGUAAUGUACAAUUCUGUCAUUUAUGAGUUAAUGGCUGUAAAUGACAUAGCUUGCAUGAGAGAAAACCAGGUAUAAUGUUUUUAAUUUAGAUGUUAACUUAUUUGCUCUGUAAAUUGAACUUUAAAUCACACACAGAACACUUCUGUGGGGUCUAGCAGGCUAUUAACAGAGCAGGAGCUCAAUUGUCAAAUAAACAGACUGUGCAAUAAAGUAAGUAUAAACAUUAGACAACUCUUUACAGGAAAUGUUUAGGAAGGCUGUGUAAGUCACAUGCAGAGAGGUGUUCCCAGGGCUGCAUAAACAACGUGAUUUAACUCUUAAAUGGCAGAUAAUUGAGCAGUGAGACUACAUGGACAUGAUCUGUACACCAAAAUCACUCCAUUAAGCUAAAGUUGUUCUAGUGCCUUUAGUGUCCAUUUUAGGAGUUUAGAUUAGCUGCAGAUCUUGGUCCUUAGUCCUGUAAGCUCUUGAAAGCAUCAGGGCUCACUCCAUGACAAGAAUUGUGGCUUCUUUUAAGAGGACCCAGAAUAUUAAUAAUAGAAUAUUUACAGGCUGGCAGCUUAGUCCUCUCGUUAAACCUAUCACUACAUGCUGGACAUGGCAUCAUCUGCAGAAUCUUGUUUUGGAUGAAGCGUUCUAGUGGAUGUUAUCUUAAGCAAUGAAAAAAUAUUUUGCAGUGUUGGUCUUUAAGUUUGUGUCCCUCCCUUUUUCCCCCCCUUACUGCUUUGCUAUUACACAUUAGUAAUGCUGCUAUGGUUAACCAGGAAAAAUGAAAAUGUAUUCCAUAUUUAAUGUAAUUCUUUUCUCCAUGGCAGUAUCAGGCUUCCUCCCUUAAGGGUUCAGCUAGCUUUCCUUUCAGUUAAACUAUGAGUUCUGGGGGCAGGGGACUUCUAUAAUCUUUGAUCAGCAGGUUGUUAUUUUUGUUCUGCCAGUUUGGGCGGGGGUAAUGCAGAAUACAAAAUAACAGCACUCCCCCCAAAUCUAUAGAAUUGCUCAUACACAAAAUGCUGCAUAUUGGAACUCAACUGUGUCAAGGUUAUUUGAGGUGAAUUCAAUGUGAAUUUUAAAUUAAAGGUAAUAAUAGCCAAACUAAAAAAAUUCUCUUAAGUCAGUUAUACUUUCUAUUCAGGUAAGUUGACCUCAAGUUUGAAAUUCACUUUGAAUUCUCACUUUAGUGAAUAGCCCUGUAUAAAAUCCAUUAAAGCACUACAAUGAGUCAGUUAUAUCCACUCCUUAAAGGACCACUAUAGGCACCCAG
This 2600-nucleotide long non-coding RNA is filed under the name Pelobates cultripes (western spadefoot toad). Lineage: Eukaryota; Metazoa; Chordata; Amphibia; Anura; Pelobatidae. The record is from RNAcentral.